This 433-nucleotide ribosomal RNA is filed under the name uncultured bacterium. RNAcentral's name for it is "partial 16S ribosomal RNA". It matches the Rfam family "Bacterial small subunit ribosomal RNA", at positions 29 to 507 of the family's 1533-position model. The record is from RNAcentral.
AACGAACGCUGGCGGCAUGCCUAACACAUGCAAGUCGAACGAGACCUUCGGGUCUAGUGGCGCACGGGUGCGUCACGCGUGGGAACCUGCCCUUAGGUUCGGAAUACCUCCCCGAAAGGGGUGCUAAUACCGGAUAAUGUCUUCGGACCAAAGAUUUAUCGCCUUUGGAUGGGCCCGCGUUGGAUUAGCUAGUUGGUAGGGUAAAAGCCUACCAAGGCGACGAUCCAUAGCUGGUCUGAGAGGAUGAUCAGCCACACUGGGACUGAGACACGGCCCAGACUCCUACGGGAGGCAGCAGUGGGGAAUAUUGGACAAUGGGCGAAAGCCUGAUCCAGCAAGGCCGCGUGAGUGAUGAAGGCCUUAGGGUUGUAAAGCUCUUUUACACGGGAUGAUAAUGACAGUACCGGGAGAAUAAGCUCCGGCUAACUCCGUG